Molecule: ribosomal RNA, 468 nt
Filed under: uncultured bacterium
Lineage: Bacteria
Description: partial 16S ribosomal RNA
Rfam family: Bacterial small subunit ribosomal RNA
Source: RNAcentral
GACGAACGCUGGCGGCGUGCUUAACACAUGCAAGUCGAACGGAAAGGCCCUGCUUUUGUGGGGUGCUCGAGUGGCGAACGGGUGAGUAACACGUGAGUAACCUGCCCUUGACUUUGGGAUAACUUCAGGAAACUGGGGCUAAUACCGGAUAGGAGCUCCUGCUGCAUGGUGGGGGUUGGAAAGUUUCGGCGGUUGGGGAUGGACUCGCGGCUUAUCAGCUUGUUGGUGGGGUAGUGGCUUACCAAGGCUUUGACGGGUAGCCGGCCUGAGAGGGUGACCGGCCACAAUGGGCCUGAGAUACGGACCAGACUCCUACGGGAGGCAGCAGUGGGGAAUAUUGCACAAUGGGCGGAAGCCUGAUGCAGCAACGCCGCGUGCGGGAUGACGGCCUUCGGGUUGUAAACCGAUUUCGCCUGUGACGAAGCGUGAGUGACGGUAAUGGGUAAAGAAGCACCGGCUAACUACGUG